This 611-nucleotide long non-coding RNA is filed under the name Olea europaea subsp. europaea. The record is from RNAcentral. Lineage: Eukaryota; Viridiplantae; Streptophyta; Magnoliopsida; Lamiales; Oleaceae.
UUUCAAAUCUUCUUAGUAGAUAUAUUUCUAAACUCAAAAAAAUUAGUUGCACAAAUGAGGAACUAUGGAGCACAUAGGAAAUAGAGCAAGUAACAAGGUUAAAAAAUCUAGUGCCGAGCACAUUAAAUACUUAUUUGGUAUGCAUUACUCGAUAGGACUCGAGAGUUUUAACUUCUUUUUUUCUCAACACUAACUUGUACUAUUCAAUCCUCUAUACUAAAUCUGCCAUGACGAAAUUACACCGUAUUAUCACUCGAAACAAUUAGACUAAGAAAAGCAUCUUGAAUAAAACUAUGAAUCUCUGAUGAAUUUAGAGCAAUGUAACAGUAUAUGAGUUCCUCCAUUUGAUUCCAAUCUUGAAUUCCCACAUUUUGUAUCACUUGGAUUAUAGAUUCUCUUAUAUCAAAAAUUGGAUCUGAGGAAUAUUUCACUGCACAAAUACAAUCUGCAAAUGCCCCACAAACAUCUUCUGGUAACUUGGCUGAAAAGCUUAUUCUUGAACUUCUACUUCUCUGCAAAAUUUUCUUCUUCGUCUCGACUUUCGCCAUUUCUUGUGUGGAUUACGAACAGAGGGAAUUUCGGGUAGAGCAGUGAAAUACGCGAGAAUUCAC